CCAGACUCCUACGGGAGGCAGCAGUGGGGAAUAUUGCACAAUGGGGGAAACCCUGAUGCAGCGACGCCGCGUGAGUGAAGAAGUAUCUCGGUAUGUAAAGCUCUAUCAGCAGGGAAGAAGAUGACGGUACCUGAGUAAGAAGCCCCGGCUAACUACGUGCCAGCAGCCGCGGUAAUACGUAGGGGGCAAGCGUUAUCCGGAUUUACUGGGUGUAAAGGGAGCGUAGACGGCGGCGCAAGUCUGGAGUGAAAGCCCGUGGCUCAACCACGGGACUGCUUUGGAAACUGUAUGGCUGGAGUGCAGGAGAGGUAAGCGGAAUUCCUAGUGUAGCGGUGAAAUGCGUAGAUAUUAGGAGGAACACCAGUGGCGAAGGCGGCUUACUGGACUGUAACUGACGUUGAGGCUCGAAAGCGUGGGGAGCAAACAGGAUUAGAUACCCGCGUAA
This 445-nucleotide ribosomal RNA is filed under the name uncultured bacterium. Its description in RNAcentral is "bacterial SSU rRNA". It matches the Rfam family "Bacterial small subunit ribosomal RNA", at positions 331 to 793 of the family's 1533-position model. The record is from RNAcentral.